RNAcentral lists this ribosomal RNA (496 nucleotides) under uncultured bacterium. RNAcentral describes it as "bacterial SSU rRNA". It matches the Rfam family "Bacterial small subunit ribosomal RNA", at positions 29 to 518 of the family's 1533-position model. The record is from RNAcentral.
AUGAACGCUAGCGACAGGCCUAACACAUGCAAGGUCGAGGGGCAGCACAAGGAGCAAUCUGUGGUGGCGACCGGCGCACGGGUGAGUAACACGUAUGCAACCUGCCUGUAAGCGGGGAAUAACCCGUUGAAAGACGGACUAAUACCGCAUAAUACUAAAUUACUGCAUGGUAAUUUAUUUAAACAUUUAUGGCUUACAGAUGGGCAUGCGCAUGAUUAGCUAGUUGGAGAGGUAACGGCUCCCCAAGGCAACGAUCAUUAGGGGUUCUGAGAGGAAGGUCCCCCACACUGGUACUGAGACACGGACCAGACUCCUACGGGAGGCAGCAGUGAGGAAUAUUGGUCAAUGGACGAGAGUCUGAACCAGCCAAGUCGCGUGCAGGAAGAAUGUCCCUAUGGAUUGUAAACUGCUUUUGCAGGGGAAUAAAGUGCAUCACGUGUGAUGUUUUGUAUGUACUCUGCGAAUAAGGAUCGGCUAACCCCGUGCCAGCAGCGGC